Molecule: long non-coding RNA, 1311 nt
Filed under: Salvia miltiorrhiza (redroot sage)
Lineage: Eukaryota; Viridiplantae; Streptophyta; Magnoliopsida; Lamiales; Lamiaceae
Description: long non-coding RNA (SMIL_LNC003075)
Source: RNAcentral
UGCAUUGGUACUGGGUAUUAAAUUUGUAUUAAAAUCGAACAUCGAUUAUAUUCGAUUACCUAAAUUUGCUUAGUAUUUUUUUAUAUGUUUAGUUUAAGGAUAUUCAAAUGAACUAAAAUAAUUUUUUUAUUAAAAUUAAAUAUCUCUUCGUAUCUCCCUUUAUUAUUCACAAAUUUGAGUUUUUAAGACAACCAAAACAUAUAUGCUCUCUCUCAUCAAAUCAAUGUGAAGAAUUUUUUUAAUUCUAAAGGCAAAAGAUUAGGAAAAUUGAUAGAAAGAAAAAAUAAAACAAAUUAAGACUUUUUAAAUAUAUUCAUAUGUGUACUAGUUCUAUGAAUUGUUUUCAUGUAAAACAAGUGCAAUUUAAAUUAUUUAAAUUAUUUUGAUGCAUUUACCCUUAAAAUAACUCGUCCAUCAAUUUAGCUUCACUUGUUUUACUUUCGUGGGAUAUACAAUCAUCUUUACUUAAUUAAAAUAAUAAUAAAAAUUAUAUUUUUAGAAUUGGUAAUAUAAUUAAGAAUAUAUGUUACUGCCAAUAUUAUAAUUAGAUUAUUCAAGAAUGUCACCGAUUUUAAACUAUAUACUUCCUCCGAGAGUGAUGAAAAUAUGUUGUAAUUAAUAAUGAGAGUGUUGAAAAGGUGAAAAGCAAGGGUAAAUGGAAUAUUAUAAGUAAGUAGUAAGGUAUAAUUCAUAUGAAGUUUUUUUGUGAACGUCCUAAAAAUAAAAUAUAAUAUUAUUAAGAUGAAAAUGGACUGACGGGGUACAUUUUUAGUUGAACUCAUUUUUUAUUUUAUAGUUGGAGAUGAAAUGUAAUAUUAUUAAGAUGAAAAUAAAUUUAUUUUAUAGUUGGAGACUACAAAAUGACCAACAUCUUAACAACACAUUUUUUAUCCAAUGAUCAUUAUUAUUUAAUUAAAAUUUUCACCAAAAUAUCUAUAUAUUUUUUCUUUCAAUGUUUCUAUUAGUCUAGAAAGAGUUUUGAAACAUUUAAAUGUUGUUUAUUGAUUCGUAUUUUACAACAUAGUUGUUGGGAGUUAAUUGGUUGUAAAUCCACAAACUAAUAAUGAAUUUCGCUAUUUUACUAACUCUACAAAAUUGCAGAGUAAAAAUGCAUGAACUUUAGUUCAUUAUGAAAUUUACCCUGAAUUUCAAUUUAUCCCAAAUAAAAACUGACAUAGAGAAAUUAAAUUUGAUAUAAUAUCACAUACUCCUUCCGUCUCACUAAAGAUGAUUCGUUUUCCAUUUUGAAUCGUCCUAUUAAAAAUGACUCAUUUCCAUAAAAGACAAUAUUUAACUCUUGAAAAGUUGUGG